UGCCACUCCACUUGUUGCCGUGUUGAGCCUUGUAGAUCGUCGUGGUCCAAAUCCUUGAAUGUAGGAAGUUCUGUUCAUCGUGGUUUCCGAGUUUCUAGUCAUUGUACUUUUCUUUUACGUUUUAUCAAAGAAUUUUUAUAAAUAAAAAUUCCAAGAAUAAGAACGUACAAAAAAUCUACAAAUGAACAAGAAAACAAAAAACCUUGAAUGCGAGAGUUUUUUUAUAAGCGUGUGAAUCGAGACUCUCAAUGAAAGCACCAAUUUGUGGAUGCAAAUUUCCACCUUCUUCUUCUUGGACGAAAAUGCACCUGCAAAACAAUUAACACAUUAGGUCAAGGCCAAAAGCCUCAUGCCCCCACGAUGAAUUUGGGGGGGGGGGGUAAGGGCGCUUUGGCCGAAGAACCUCCAAUGUCAAAGUUAGAAUUUGAGAGAGAAAGUGUUUAGAGAAAUUCGGAGAAUUUAGCAAGAGAAUUGAACUUAGGUUUUUGGGAGAAAUGGUGGCUAUUUAUAGGGGUGUGGCCGGCCCCUAUUUGGAGAAAAGGGGUCCGACCACUUAUGGUGAUUUUUUGAAUUGUAAUCAAUUAGGCAAUUAAUCAAUUAAUUAGCUAAUUAAUCCUAUUUUGAAAAGAAUAAAUAGGAAUUACCUUAUGGAGAGGAUUUGAUGAGGAUUUGAUGAGGAUUUAUGGAGAGGAUUUGAUCACAUUUGACCUUAAUUGAGCCGUUAUUGUCUACUUCUUACACGUGGGAGUUCCGGUGUGCCUCAAGGGUAAUUUUGUCUUUUUCAUCCAAGAAUUCAAGUGUCGCCUCCAUAUUUUUCUUGGUUAUUUUUUACUCCACAAUUGUGGAAUGGAAGGAUUCCUGAUAAAGGUUCUUGUUCAAGGAUACCAUCAUCACCUGUAACAAAACCACAUUAAUUAAAUAACAAUACAAAAUAAAAAUAGUAUCCAUUGUUGUUAUAUUCAUUCUUGUUAAACAACAAGUGAGAUUUAGGAUCUUGGGUUUGAGGAGGAUGACAUAAUUCGUAAGAAUCAUGUCCGUUGUCUUCUGGCAUACGUUCAUCAUUUGGUUGUAUCCGAAUUUGGAUACCACUUGAUUUUUUUGAAACUUUCAAUUUAUCGUCCUUCUUAUAUAUCGUACACAAAAGCCGGUCAUCGAGCUGCAAGAACGAAAAAUGUGUCAGGAGGCUCAAUAAAAAUUUUGAGGAAAAAAACAAGGAAUUAAGAAUUAAUUAAUUCUUCAGAGGAAAUAGUAUUAAAAGUAUUGUAUAUUUUCAAACCCUCAUAAUAUUUUUUCUAUUUGCAUUCCUAGAAGUAGGCUUGGCAAUUCCUAAUACGACCUGAUAACCCAACACGAUACGACAUGAAAUUAACAGGUGUUCGGGUCGACAUGAUAACGAAUCGGGUGUUAUCGGGUAACCCGAUAAGCACCUGUUAAGAUAACAGGUUAGUUCGGGUAUACACGUGGGUAACAUGAUACACGAUAAGCAGAAUAUUAAUUUAAUAAUUUUAUAACCCUAAAAAAUACUAUAAUAAUUAUAUAUAUUAAUUUAACAAUUUUAUACCCCUAAAAAGUUUAAACUA
RNAcentral lists this long non-coding RNA (1580 nucleotides) under Malus domestica (apple). Its description in RNAcentral is "long non-coding RNA (MDOM_LNC013120)". The record is from RNAcentral. Lineage: Eukaryota; Viridiplantae; Streptophyta; Magnoliopsida; Rosales; Rosaceae.